AAUUUUGGACAAUGGGCGCAAGCCUGAUCCAGCAAUGCCGCGUGUGUGACGAAGGCCUUCGGGUUGUAAAGCACUUUUGUUCGGGAAGAAAUCUGUCGGGAUAAUACCUCGACGGGAUGACGGUACCGGAAGAAUAAGCACCGGCUAACUUCGUGCCAGCAGCCGCGGUAAUACGAAGGGUGCAAGCGUUACUCGGAAUUACUGGGCGUAAAGCGUGCGUAGGUGGUUUGUUAAGUCUGAUGUGAAAGCCCUGGGCUCAACCUGGGAACUGCAUUGGAUACUGGCUUACUAGAGUGCGGUAGAGGGUAGCGGAAUUCCCGGUGUAGCAGUGAAAUGCGUAGAUAUCGGGAGGAACAUCCGUGGCGAAGGCGGCUACCUGGACCAGCACUGACACUGAGGCACGAAAGCGUGGGGAGCAAACAG
RNAcentral lists this ribosomal RNA (423 nucleotides) under uncultured bacterium. RNAcentral's name for it is "bacterial SSU rRNA". It matches the Rfam family "Bacterial small subunit ribosomal RNA", at positions 360 to 775 of the family's 1533-position model. The record is from RNAcentral.